GACGAACGCUGGCGGCGUGCUUAACACAUGCAAGUCGAACGGAAAGGCCCUGCUUUUGUGGGGUUCUCGAGUGGCGAACGGGUGAGUAACACGUGAGUAACCUGCCCUUGACUUUGGGAUAACUUCAGGAAACUGGGGCUAAUACCGGAUAGGAGCUCCUGCUGCAUGGUGGGGGUUGGAAAGUUUCGGCGGUUGGGGAUGGACUCGCGGCUUAUCAGCUUGUUGGUGGGGUAGUGGCUUACCAAGGCUUUGACGGGUAGCCGGCCUGAGAGGGUGACCGGCCACAUUGGGACUGAGAUACGGCCCAGACUCCUACGGGAGGCAGCAGUGGGGAAUAUUGCACAAUGGGCGGAAGCCUGAUGCAGCAACGCCGCGUGCGGGAUGACGGCCUUCGGGUUGUAAACCGCUUUCGACUGUGACGAAGCGUGAGUGACGGUAAUGGGUAAAGAAGCACCGGCUAACUACGUG
This 468-nucleotide ribosomal RNA is filed under the name uncultured bacterium. RNAcentral describes it as "partial 16S ribosomal RNA". It matches the Rfam family "Bacterial small subunit ribosomal RNA", at positions 28 to 507 of the family's 1533-position model. The record is from RNAcentral.